AGAGGAAUAAAAGAGCUACAGCUCAAAAAUCUCAACACAAACUGUUCCUACUGCGCUGCUACACGGCCUACUGUUCUACCACCUCAGAGACGCGGCGAGAGAGAAACAGGGCAAGAGAGGAGAGGAGGAAGGAGACCCUGACGAGGACAUGCCGAUUCCACCCAAGAGAGCAACGCUGGAAGAAAGAAAAGCGAAUAAGAGAUUGGAUGACAGAGUUCCAGCCGAGAAAAUAAAUGAAGAAUUUAGGUGCAUUCAGGUAGAAGGUGACGGAGAAAGAGUGUAAUGAGAUGGGGUGUAUCAGGAAGCUACAAACCUCAUUCCACAGACUCAAGGAAACACAAACCAUUAGACAACACUGUCUUUCAGGAACCAGACAAUACCCUUUUCAUCAACGAACAAUGUGUGUGUGCACAUAUUUGCUGAGAGUCAGGCACACCUUUGCAGAGUGCUGUAGUUUUGUCUCUCAUUUCUUUAACAAGCUGGAAAACACUUCAAGAGGAAUCAGACUCCAACACAUGCAAACCAGCUGCAACAGGUCAACACAAAUGAUCAACAACAGGAUUUGAG
This is a long non-coding RNA of Labeo rohita (rohu), 567 nucleotides long. RefSeq lists it as uncharacterized. The transcript has 3 exons. NCBI's taxonomy places the organism in Eukaryota, Metazoa, Chordata, Actinopteri, Cypriniformes, Cyprinidae. The record is from RefSeq and is a predicted model, not a curated record.